Molecule: long non-coding RNA, 307 nt
Filed under: Capsicum annuum
Lineage: Eukaryota; Viridiplantae; Streptophyta; Magnoliopsida; Solanales; Solanaceae
Description: long non-coding RNA (CANN_LNC013303)
Source: RNAcentral
GAUAGCAUCUGUGACUUGGUGUCGAAAGCUAUCGGGGUUUCUGAUCCUGUUCGCGCUUACCAUGUGAAUCUGUCAGUUUUCACCUCAAUUCCUGAUUUUUGGGCAUUUGGCCAAUUGUUUCCGAUCGUUCCAAUUCAUCGUUUGGAUGAAAAGCCUACAAUGAGAGGAAUACUGUCGGACCUGACCUGUGACAGUGAUGGGAAGGUAGACAAGUUCAUUGGGGGCGAAUCAAGCUUGCCACUCCAUGAUUUGGGAAGCAAUGGUGGUGAUGGUGGGCGGUAUUAUCUGGGGAUGUUUUUGGGUGGGG